This 467-nucleotide ribosomal RNA is filed under the name uncultured bacterium. Its description in RNAcentral is "partial 16S ribosomal RNA". It matches the Rfam family "Bacterial small subunit ribosomal RNA", at positions 28 to 507 of the family's 1533-position model. The record is from RNAcentral.
GACGAACGCUGGCGGCGUGCUUAACACAUGCAAGUCGAACGGAAAGGCCCUGCUUUGGGGGGUGCUCGAGUGGCGAACGGGGGAGUAACACGUGAGUAACCUGCCCUUGACUUUGGGAUAACUUCAGGAAACUGGGGCUAAUACCGGAUAGGAGGUCCUGCUGCAUGGUGGGGGGUGGGAAGGUUCGGCGGUUGGGGAUGGACUCGCGGCUUAUCAGCUUGUUGGUGGGGUAGUGGCUUACCAAGGCUUUGACGGGUAGCCGGCCUGAGAGGGUGACCGGCCACAUUGGGACUGAGAUACGGCCCAGACUCCUACGGGAGGCAGCAGUGGGGAAUAUUGCACAAUGGGCGGAAGCCUGAUGCAGCAACGCCGCGUGCGGGAUGACGGCCUUCGGGUUGUAAACCGCUUUCGCCUGUGACGAAGCGUGAGUGACGGUAAUGGGUAAAGAAGCACCGGCUAACUACGUG